Molecule: ribosomal RNA, 449 nt
Filed under: uncultured bacterium
Lineage: Bacteria
Description: partial 16S ribosomal RNA
Rfam family: Bacterial small subunit ribosomal RNA
Source: RNAcentral
AACGAACGCUGGCGGCAGGCUUAACACAUGCAAGUCGAACGAGAUCUUCGGAUCUAGUGGCAGACGGGUGAGGAACACGUGGGAACAUCCCUUUCAGUUCGGAAUAACGUUGGGAAACUAACGCUAAUACCGGAUACGUCCUUCGGGAGAAAGACUCAUCGCUGAAAGAUUGGCCCGCGUCUGAUUAGCUAGUUGGUGAGGUAAUGGCUCACCAAGGCUACGAUCAGUUGCUGAUCUGAGAGGAUGAUCAGCCACAUUGGGACUGAGACAUGGCCCAAACUCCUACGGGAGGCAGCAGUGGGGAAUAUUGGACAAUGGGCGCAAGCCUGAUCCAGCCAUGCCGCGUGAGUGAUGACGGCCUUCGGGUUGUAAAGCUCUUUUGUCCGGGAAGAUAAUGACUGUACCGGAAGAAUAAGCCCCGGCAAACUUCGUGCCAGCAGCCGCAGUAA